Molecule: long non-coding RNA, 204 nt
Filed under: Elaeis guineensis (African oil palm)
Lineage: Eukaryota; Viridiplantae; Streptophyta; Magnoliopsida; Arecales; Arecaceae
Description: long non-coding RNA (EGUI_LNC059086)
Source: RNAcentral
UGGCCUGAUCAACCCAAACAAAGGAAAAAAAAGGUUGAAAACCUUACCUCCGGCAGACGGCGGGCGAUGUGGUCGGCGGAUAGUGGACGGCAGACGACAGUGGUGGAGAGGGGCUCACCGAUGGGAAGAGAUGGAGGGGAGAGCACAGAGAGAGGAGAGCUCAGGGAGAGGGAGAGAGAUCGGGGAAAGAAGAGAGGGGGGGAG